CGUGGGUAACCUGCCCAAGAGAUCGGGAUAACACCUGGAAACAGAUGCUAAUACCGGAUAACAACAGAUGAUGCCUAUCAACUGUUUAAAAGAUGGUUCUGCUAUCACUCUUGGAUGGACCUGCGGUGCAUUAGCUAGUUGGUAGGGUAACGGCCUACCAAGGCGAUGAUGCAUAGCCGAGUUGAUAUACUGAUCGGCCACAUUGGGACUGAGACACGGCCCAAACUCCUACGGGAGGCAGCAGGU
RNAcentral lists this ribosomal RNA (246 nucleotides) under uncultured Lactobacillus sp. RNAcentral describes it as "partial 16S ribosomal RNA". It matches the Rfam family "Bacterial small subunit ribosomal RNA", at positions 116 to 354 of the family's 1533-position model. The record is from RNAcentral. Lineage: Bacteria; Bacillati; Bacillota; Bacilli; Lactobacillales; Lactobacillaceae.